CCUACGGGUGGCAGCAGUGGGGAAUAUUGGACAAUGGGCGAAAGCCUGAUCCAGCCAUGCCGCGUGUGUGAAGAAGGCCUUCGGGUUGUAAAGCACUUUCAGUGGGGAAGAAAGCCUUGGGGCUAAUACCCUCGAGGAAGGACAUCACCCACAGAAGAAGCACCGGCUAACUCCGUGCCAGCAGCCGCGGUAAUACGGAGGGUGCGAGCGUUAAUCGGAAUUACUGGGCGUAAAGCGCGCGUAGGCGGUCUGAUAAGCCGGUUGUGAAAGCCCCGGGCUCAACCUGGGAACGGCAUCCGGAACUGUCUGGCUAGAGUGCGGGAGAGGAAGGUAGAAUUCCCGGUGUAGCGGUGAAAUGCGUAGAGAUAGGGAGGAAUACCAGUGGCGAAGGCGGCCUUCUGGACUGACACUGACGCUGAGGUGCGAAAGCGUGGGUAGCAAACAGGAUUAGAUACCCCAGUAGUC
Molecule: ribosomal RNA, 465 nt
Filed under: Vreelandella stevensii
Lineage: Bacteria; Pseudomonadati; Pseudomonadota; Gammaproteobacteria; Oceanospirillales; Halomonadaceae
Description: partial 16S ribosomal RNA
Rfam family: Bacterial small subunit ribosomal RNA
Source: RNAcentral